Molecule: ribosomal RNA, 120 nt
Organism: Fusarium oxysporum f. sp. lycopersici 4287
Lineage: Eukaryota; Fungi; Ascomycota; Sordariomycetes; Hypocreales; Nectriaceae
Source: Rfam
ACAUACGACCAAAGCUCAGAGAGAAUACGGGAUCCCGUCCGCUCUCCCAUCGUCAAGCUCCGAAGCGCCGGAUUAGUAGUUGGGUCGGUGACGACCAGCGAAUACCUGGUGUUGUAUGUU